RNAcentral lists this ribosomal RNA (260 nucleotides) under uncultured bacterium. RNAcentral describes it as "partial 16S ribosomal RNA". It matches the Rfam family "Bacterial small subunit ribosomal RNA", at positions 95 to 353 of the family's 1533-position model. The record is from RNAcentral.
CCGGCGCACGGGUGAGUAACACGUAUCCAACCUGCCGUCUACUCUUGGACAGCCUUCUGAAAGGAAGAUUAAUACAAGAUGGCAUCAUGAGUCCGCAUGUUCACAUGAUUAAAGGUAUUCCGGUAGACGAUGGGGAUGCGUUCCAUUAGAUAGUAGGCGGGGUAACGGCCCACCUAGUCUUCGAUGGAUAGGGGUUCUGAGAGGAAGGUCCCCCACACUGGAACUGAGACACGGUCCAAACUCCUACGGGAGGCAGCAUG